RNAcentral lists this transfer RNA (72 nucleotides) under Enterococcus faecium. Its description in RNAcentral is "tRNA-Glu". It matches the Rfam family "tRNA". From Rfam's summary of the family: Transfer RNA (tRNA) molecules are approximately 80 nucleotides in length. Lineage: Bacteria; Bacillati; Bacillota; Bacilli; Lactobacillales; Enterococcaceae. RNAcentral also lists the same sequence under 1 other name. The record is from RNAcentral.
GGCCCGUUGGUCAAACGGUUAAGACACCGCCCUUUCACGGCGGUAACACGGGUUCGAAUCCCGUACGGGUCA